CCGGAUUUGAACUCAGUCAACCCGUCAGACGACAAGUGGUAAAUUCUGUGGCCGAAUGAGGCUGAGACUGUGAUGUUGGCUCAGAUCUCCGAGUGCUGCAGGUCAGCCUCUCUUUUCACCGCUGAUCAACACUUCAGCUCCCCGUCCGCCUCUUUCCUGCUAUUUAUGGACUCACCAAGGAUGCUGCAAGGCCUGGUCACAAUUGAACCUCUUCGCUGGAUCCUUCUGGACUCAUAAACGGCAUUGAUGUCAUCUUUUUUCCGAAAAUC
Molecule: long non-coding RNA, 269 nt
Organism: Labeo rohita (rohu)
Lineage: Eukaryota; Metazoa; Chordata; Actinopteri; Cypriniformes; Cyprinidae
Exons: 4
Source: RefSeq, a predicted model, not a curated record